RNAcentral lists this transfer RNA (69 nucleotides) under Presbytis melalophos (mitred leaf monkey). RNAcentral's name for it is "tRNA-Trp". RNAcentral also lists the same sequence under 2 other names. Lineage: Eukaryota; Metazoa; Chordata; Mammalia; Primates; Cercopithecidae. The record is from RNAcentral.
AGAAAUUUAGGUUAAAUAUAGACCGAAAGCCUUCAAAGCUCUCAGUAAGUUAGAUAAACUUAAUUUCUG